GGCGACAAGCGGUGGAGUAUAGUGGUUUAAUUCGAUGCAACGCGAAGAACCUUACCUCGGUCUUGACAUCCCGGAGACCCUUAGGAAACUAGGGGGUGCGUUCCAUCGUGGAAGAAUCUGGAGACAGGUGCUGCAUGGCUGUCGUCAGCUCGUGUCGUGAGAUGUUGGGUUAAGUCCCGCAACGAGCGCAACCCUUGCCUUUAGUUGCCAGCAGUUCGGCUGGGCACUCUAAAGGGACUGCCGGUGUUAAACCGGAGGAAGGUGGGGAUGACGUCAAGUCCUCAUGGCCUUUAUGACCAGGGCUACACACGUACUACAAUGGCCGAUACAAAGGGCAGCGACACUGCGAGGUGAAGCCAAUCCCGUAAAAUCGGUCUCAGUCCGGAUUGGAGUCUGCAACUCGACUCCAUGAAGUUGGAAUCGCUAGUAAUCGUGGAUCAGCAUGCCACGGUGAAUACGUUCCCGGGCCUU
Molecule: ribosomal RNA, 471 nt
Filed under: uncultured Desulfobulbus sp.
Lineage: Bacteria; Pseudomonadati; Thermodesulfobacteriota; Desulfobulbia; Desulfobulbales; Desulfobulbaceae
Description: bacterial SSU rRNA
Rfam family: Bacterial small subunit ribosomal RNA
Source: RNAcentral